GAUUAACGCUAGCGGCAGGCAUAAUACAUGCAAGUUGAACGGCAGCACAGGUAGCAAUACUGGGUGGCGAGUGGCGCACGGGUGCGUAACACGUAUGCAACCUACCCUAUACAGGCGAAUAACCUUUAGAAAUGAGGGCUAAUACGCCGUAGUAUUACAGAUGGGCAUCUAUUUGUAAUUAAAGAUUUAUCGGUAUAGGAUGGGCAUGCGUCCCAUUAGUUAGUUGGUAAGGUAACGGCUUACCAAGACGAUGAUGGGUAGGGGAUCUGAGAGGACUUACCCCCACACUGGUACUGAGACACGGACCAGACUCCUACGGGAGGCAGCAGUAAGGAAUAUUGGGCAAUGGCCGCGAGGCUGACCCAGCCAUGCCGCGUGCAGGAAGACGGCCUUAUGGGUUGUAAACUGCUUUUAUACGGGAAUAAUAGAGUGUACGCGUACAUUUAUGCAAGUAUCGUAUGAAUAAGCAUCGGCUAACUCCGCG
This 484-nucleotide ribosomal RNA is filed under the name uncultured bacterium. RNAcentral describes it as "partial 16S ribosomal RNA". It matches the Rfam family "Bacterial small subunit ribosomal RNA", at positions 28 to 507 of the family's 1533-position model. The record is from RNAcentral.